Molecule: long non-coding RNA, 1053 nt
Filed under: Brassica rapa (field mustard)
Lineage: Eukaryota; Viridiplantae; Streptophyta; Magnoliopsida; Brassicales; Brassicaceae
Description: long non-coding RNA (BRAP_LNC000375)
Source: RNAcentral
GAAAAACCAGAGAAAAAUUCAGAGAGAAACAGAGAAAGAAGAGAGAAAAUUUGUGAGAAAAACUAGUUGAAAAAUUCAGAAAAAAAUCAGAGAAGAGAAUUGAGCAUGGACAAACCUUUCUCACCAUCCUGUGACUUUAUCCAGUGUGUUCUGGUGUGGUUAAGAGCUGAAGGUUUGGUGUCCAAGAUUUUAGAAUUACCCACAUUCUUCAGCCUUUGAUUUUGAUCGGUAAGAUGGUUGUAGAUCAGUUUCUGUGAGAAGUUUUGUUGGUUUGCCUACACUGGAGAUAAAUUAUGAAUAAAUCCAACCAUGGAUUCUUGUGGUGUUGAUCAGGUUAAUUCGUGGUUAGCUUGAAGACAGACAACCAGUCAAGUUUAAUUAGUUGAGUAAAACCGGUAAGCUUCAGCUUCUUGAUUCAGCCAUGUUUUGAUGAGAACCAAUUGCUGUAUGUUGGUUAACCUGUCAGGAUCAGUUGUCUAAGGUCUUGUUCUCUUCAGUCUUGGUUGGUUUAUGAUUUAAUCAGUCUCAUAGAACCAAUAGACAAACUGAUAAGAAUUAUGGGAAUUAAACCGAACUGAUUUUAUCUUGUUUAGAACUGAAUUGAUCUGAGUAUGUUCUGAUCUGAUCUGAGCCGAGCUGUCUAUGGUCUGAAAUUGUCUUGAACUGAUGUCGUCUGAGUAUAACCGAGUUAAGCUGUUGGGAACUGAUUAGAACCGGAGUUAGCUGAGCAUGAACUAAGCUGAUAUGAACCGAGUCAAACUGUUAAAGCUUGAACCGAGUUGAACAUCGUAUCAAUCUGUCUUGAACCGAACUGAUAUGAGAGAACUGAACUGAAAUGUUAUGAACUGAGUUGAGUUUCUUCUUGAACCAGACUAGUGAACCUUGUGUUCCAACUGUUAUGUUUUGAAUUCAGAUGGCCAAGGAGAGUAUUCGGAUCAGCCGGAUCCUUGUGAUGGUUCUGAACCGAGAGUGAUCCAGAAGUGAAGUGUGAUUAGCUUGAGCUCGAGUCUAGUCAUCCUUAGCCAAUCUCAUGGAUUUAAAGGUGAGUCUAGA